AAUAAGUACAGUUAUACACUUUUUAUGUUCAACUGUUCGAUUGAGAAAAUUUUUUAUAAUUAGUAUUUUUGUUGUUAUUAGAUGAUAAAAUACAAACAGUAUUUUAUGUGUGAUUAUUUUUUUAAUUUUUUUUAUAAUUUUUUUAAAAUAAGAUGGUUGGUUAAACGUUGAACCCGGAAAUUCACGACUACACUUAUU
RNAcentral lists this microRNA precursor (198 nucleotides) under Oryza punctata. RNAcentral's name for it is "MIR812 microRNA precursor family". It matches the Rfam family "MIR812 microRNA precursor family". Lineage: Eukaryota; Viridiplantae; Streptophyta; Magnoliopsida; Poales; Poaceae. The record is from Rfam by way of RNAcentral.